AGAGUUUGAUCCUGGCUCAGGAUGAACGCUGGCGGCGUGCUUAAUACAUGCAAGUCGAACGGAGGUUGUAGCAAUACGACCUUAGUGGCGAACGGGUGAGUAACGCGUUGGUGACCUGCCCCGAAGUGUGGGAUAACAGUUCGAAAGGAUUGCUAAUACCACAUGUGGUCAGACGGGUUUAGAAACCGCUGACUAAAGCAGUAAUGCGCUUCGGGAGGGGCCUGCGUCCCAUCAGCUAGUUGGUAAGGUAAUGGCUUACCAAGGCUACGACGGGUAGGGGACCUGAGAGGGUGAUCCCCCACACUGGCACUGAAACACGGGCCAGACACCUACGGGUGGCAGCAGUAGGGAAUAUUGGGCAAUGGGCGAAAGCCUGACCCAGCAACGCCGCGUGCACGAUGAAGGCCUUCGGGUUGUAAAGUGCUUUUCGGGGAGACGAGCAAGGACGGUAUCCCCGGAAGAAGGAUCGGCUAACUACGUGCCAGCAGCCGCGGUAAAACGUAGGAUCCGAGCGUUAUCCGAAUUCACUGGGCGUAAAGCGCGUGCAGGCGGCCCGUUAAGUUGGAUGUGAAAUCUCCUGGCUCAACUAGGAGAGGCUGUUCAAUACUGGCGGGCUCGAGGACGGUAGAGGGAGGUGGAAUUCCCGGUGUAGUGGUGAAAUGCGUAGAUAUCGGGAGGAACACCAGUGGCGAAGGCGGCCUCCUAGGCCGUUCCUGACGCUCAGACGCGAAAGCUAGGGGAGCAAACGGGAUUAGAAACCCCGGUAGUCCUAGCUGUAAACGAUGUAGACUGGGUGUGGGUGGGGUAAAAGCCAUCCGUGCCGAAGCCAACGCGAUAAGUCUACCGCCUGGGGACUACGGCCGCAAGGUUAAAACUCAAAGGAAUUGACGGGGGCCCGCACAAGCAGCGGAGCGUGUGGUUUAAUUCGAUUUUACACGAAAAACCUUACCCGGGCUUGACAUACAGGUAUCGGGAUUCUCGAAAGGGGAUCCCACCCUCGGGAGGCCUGUACAGGUGCUGCAUGGCUGUCGUCAGCUCGUGUCGUGAGAUGUCCGGUUAAGUCCGGUAACGAGCGCAACCCUCGCCACGUGUUACAAGUGUCACGUGGGACUGCCGGUAUCAAGCCGGAGGAAGGUGGGGAUGACGUCAAGUCAGCAUGGCCUUUAUGUCCGGGGCUACACACACGCUACAAUGGCCAGUACAAUGGGUCGCAAAGCCGCAAGGUAGAGCCAAUCCCCAAAAUUGGCCUCAGUUCAGAUUGUAGGCUGCAACCCGCCUACAUGAAGUCGGAGUUGCUAGUAAACGCGCGUCAGCAUUAGUGCGUUGAAUACGUUCCCGGGCCUUGUACACACCGCCCGUCACGUCAUGGGAGCUGGUAACACCUGAAGCCGGUAUCCUAACCGCAAGGAAGGAGCCGUCGAAGGUGGGACUGGUGACUGGGACGAAGUCGUAACAAGGUA
This 1460-nucleotide ribosomal RNA is filed under the name metagenome. RNAcentral describes it as "bacterial SSU rRNA". It matches the Rfam family "Bacterial small subunit ribosomal RNA". The record is from RNAcentral.